Molecule: ribosomal RNA, 372 nt
Filed under: uncultured bacterium
Lineage: Bacteria
Description: bacterial SSU rRNA
Rfam family: Bacterial small subunit ribosomal RNA
Source: RNAcentral
GACGAACGCUGGCGGCGUGCUUAACACAUGCAAGUCGAGCGGUAAGGCCCUUUCGGGGGUACACGAGCGGCGAACGGGUGAGUAACACGUGGGUGACCUGCCCUCAGCUCUGGGAUACGCCUGGGAAACCGGGUCUAAUACUGGAUAUGCUCCAUGACGCAUGUUGUGGGGUGGAAAGCCUUGUGCGGCUGAGGAUGGGCCCGCGGCCUAUCAGCUUGUUGGUGGGGUGAUGGCCUACCAAGGCGACGACGGGUAGCCGGCCUGAGAGGGCGACCGGCCACACUGGGACUGAGACACGGCCCAGACUCCUACGGGAGGCAGCAGUGGGGAAUCUUGCGCAAUGGGCGAAAGCCUGACGCAGCGACGCCGCGU